CAGCCAGAGAGAUUGGUGUGUAGUCCCAGAAAUCAGGCGGCACAAACACUCCAGGACGGUCUCUACAAUCAUACAAACACAAGGAUCAAUACAACAUUAAUUAAUUACCUAGGCUAAAACUUAAAUUAGAGAUUAAGGUUAAACCCUUAAUUUGUGUAACAUGUACUUCUCUUAUAUUUGCUUAUAUUUUAUGCAAUCUGUCUUCUAUGAAGUUUUACAUAAUACCCCUUUGGAAUGCCUUUGCACGGAUGAGAGUAGCACUCACUCUAUAGAAAUCCUUGUUAGGAUGAAUAUUAAAACACUAACAUAUACAUAUGGGGAUAAUUCCCAAUAACACUCUGUUCCUAAACUGGAACCUUGAUUUGAUAUUCAAAAUUAAUUACUUUAAUAAUCCUGAAUAAUUCAAUACUCUUGGAUUAACACCUAAAACUAUAUUAAAUAUUACAAACAUGAACCAUCUGUGUAUUAGGCUGGGGUUGUUGGGUGUGGGUAUAGGUUGGAAGCUAUGGUUGGUAUUGAGGAAUCUGUGGGGGUGGCUUUGGGCACUCAUUUUUCCAGUGACCCUGCUAUCCACAAUUAGAACAGUGUGUUCCACCAAUGCUGAAGUUGUUACCUCUACAAAAGUUAGACCCUUUGACCAAAUCCUCUACCUCUGCCUUUAUUCCAUAUGCAGGAUGGGAUUACCUAACUCACAGCCCCCUCUUUGUGUACCACACAGAUAUAAUAUUAAUAAGCUUUUAAAGGCUGUAUGGAUAGUUAAAUUGUGUAUAAAAAGCAAGGUUGUCUAGGGGUAUAUACAUCGACAAUGAAAGCAUAGCCUUCAUAUAGGGCUUGCAAUACUGACAGUCUGUGUCAUGAGCGUAAUGCAGACAUGCGGUUAGGUACUUUUCCAUUGUUAUAAUAUAUUGAAAACACUAAGACCUUGCAAAUUUUUAAAACGCAUAUUGCUUCCUGUACCUGGUGCCGUGCAAGGAUGUAAUUGGGACAUAUUUCAAAUUGCAUGUCAAAAGUCUAACCAUAAAACUAAAUGUUAUACGCUUAUCAAGAAAACAAGUUUAACCCGUUAGUGCAUACUUUGGAUAGCCUCUUUGCAUAAUUUGGCUCCUAGUGAGAUUAUUAUAUUUUUUUAUUAAUCCUCUUCUGGAUCUGCAAAAAUGCUUUCACUUUACCCAUACAAAUAUAAUACAGUAGUUUAGGAGAUUAAAAUUACCUCACUUAUAAAUUUCCGAAAUUGUCUAAUCUCUAUUAAAAUACCAUGUUAUUAUUACCCCAUAAUCAAUGAGACAUACUAGAUGAAUCUUACUUUGACACAAACAAUGCAAUAUACUUUAAAAGUAGAGUUAACUCUGAGCUGGACAAUACUCCCCUAUUAGAACUCCUUUAUGAGGGAGAGACAUCUUGUCCAUUCAAUCCUUUUUAUCAGUAAAAGAAUGACUUUCAGGAUUAAUCAGUUUGCAAAUGGAAAUGUGGAGCCACGAUUUGAACAGCAGAAGUUUAGGGGGCCCCUUUCACGUGGGAUGUAACAAGCGCUUUUCGUGCUCCAUAAGCGAUAGCAUACAAUUGUUUCAUUCUAGCCGGCUGGACAGCAUUUCACCUUUUGUAAAAACACUAAAUGCUUACGUUAAUGAUAUGCAAAUCACUCUGAUAGUUAAACUCCUACACAAUGGACAAUAAAAUACAUGAAACACAUAACACACCAAUUCAUUUCAAACCAUAUAACUCAUACUCAGCAUUCAAUGUAAUAUUACAUGUCAUCUCACAAAACAGACAUCUCACAAAACAGACUUAGUAGAUACACGUAUCGGGUACCCAGCAGAUAUGCCAAUACAGAAAACACAUUCAUGAGCACACAACUACACACUCUGUGUCCCUCCUAGGAAACACGGGUAGACACAAUAUGAAAGCAGUCUUAAACUAACACCUCCAAAUCUCCAUUCCCAUAUAGCUAUAUCACACCACAACACAGAGCCUCUCUGAGCUCAUAGAACUACUCCAACUCAAACUACUCUUGGCCAGAAUGCUAGUAUUCAACAGCUAAUAAAACCGUUAUUUGCUAGGGUAUUUGACUGGCAUUUUUAUCAGUAUCAUUAAACUGAGACAAACUGAUUCAAAUAUAAUUUAAAACAACACAGCAACAUAUAAAUGAAACCACUUUCCAGGUAAACUGCACACUUCACACAUUAUCACAGUCACCAUUUACACAGAAUAAACAGUUAACAGCUGUACUCUGAACAUAUUAUUGUAAGGUAUACCAAUUUUAGUUUAUAUUAGAUUUAUUUUAGGGAUUCUUAUGUAUACUUUUUUUUUUUUAAUUCUUAUUAACUUCGUUACUUUAAUCUACUAUAGUAUUGUAUAUAGAGAAAGGAU
This 2367-nucleotide long non-coding RNA is filed under the name Pelobates cultripes (western spadefoot toad). Lineage: Eukaryota; Metazoa; Chordata; Amphibia; Anura; Pelobatidae. The record is from RNAcentral.